ACACUUAGCACUCAUCGUUUACGGCGUGGACUACCAGGGUAUCUAAUCCUGUUUGCUACCCACGCUUUCGAGCCUCAGCGUCAGUUACAGACCAGAGAGUCGCCUUCGCCACUGGUGUUCCUCCAUAUAUCUACGCAUUUCACCGCUACACAUGGAAUUCCACUCUCCUCUUCUGCACUCAAGUCCCCCAGUUUCCAAUGACCCUCCCCGGUUGAGCCGGGGGCUUUCACAUCAGACUUAAGGAACCGCCUGCGCUCGCUUUACGCCCAAUAAAUCCGGACAACGCUUGCCACCUACGUAUUACCGCGGCUGCUGGCACGUAGUUAGCCGUGGCUUUCUGGUUAGAUACCGUCAAGGCGCUAACAGUUACUCUAGCACUUGUUCUUCUCUAACAACAGAGUUUUACGAUCCGAAAACCUUCUUCACUCACGCGGCGUUGCUCCGUCAGACUUGCGUCCAUUGCGGAAGAUUCCCUACUGCUGCCUCCCGUAGGAGUUUGGGCCGUGUCUCAGUCCCAAUGUGGCCGAUCACCCUCUCAGGUCGGCUAUGCAUCACGGCCUUGGUGAGCCGUUACCUCACCAACUAGCUAAUGCACCGCGGGUCCAUCCAUCAGCAGAAGCUUGCGCCUCUUUUCCUCUUCAAACCAUGCGGUUCGAAGACCUAUGCGGUUUUAGCAUCCGUUUCCGAAUGUUAUCCCCCUCUGAUGGGCAGGUUACCCACGUGUUACUCACCCGUUCGCCACUAGAUUGACCAGUGCAAGCACCGGUCGCUCUCGUUCGACUUGCAUGUAUUAGGCACGCCGCCAGCGUUCGUCCUGAGCCAGGAUCAAACCCUC
RNAcentral lists this ribosomal RNA (835 nucleotides) under uncultured bacterium. Its description in RNAcentral is "partial 16S ribosomal RNA". The record is from RNAcentral.